UCCGGUUGAUUCUGCCGGCCCCCGGCGUUAGGAGUUUGAGAUUUAGGCAUGCUACGACGGGUCAGCCGAUUUCGGUCGGUUGAUUCCUCGGAACCGCUGAGUAACACGUACUCAACGGACCCUAUAGCGGGAAAUAAGCCCGGGAAACUGGGUGUAAGAUCCCAUAGGUCGAUAGAGCUGGAACGCCUAUCGAUUCAACUGUAGGACCGGAGUGCGCCCGAUUAGGUUGUAGGUGAGGUAAUGGCUCACCUAGCCGAUUAUCGGUAGGGGCAGUGGAGCUGGAGCCUCCAGAACGAGACUGAGACACCUCUCGUAGCCCUACGGGGUGCAGCAGCCGCGAAACGUAAACACUGCAUCACGUGCGAUUUCGUCAGACUCCGUGCAAUUGCAAAAGCACAAUCCAAAUAGUUGUGCAGUAAGUUGUGGGCAAUAAAGGUGCCAGCCGCCGCGGUAAGACCUUAGCAGCGAAUGCCGGGGGGCUUUACUGCCCUUAAAACAUGUGUAGCCGGGUCAUGCUGUCGGCUCGUUAAAGGCGGAUUGAUAAUGAUCCGUAGUGCGAGUCGCAACGGUGACCUUGGGGGCGGGAGAAGCAGGGGGUAUACCCGGAGUAGCGGUGAAAUGUGUUGAUCCUGGGUAGACCAUCGAUGGCGAAGGCACCCUGCCAGAACGCGCCCGACGGUGAUACAUGAAAGCCAGGGGAGCGACACGGAUUAGAUACCCGUUUAGUCCUGGCUGUAAACGAUGCCGGCUCGGUGUUGCCCUAGACACGAUCUGUGGCAGUGCCGCAGCGAAAGCGAUAAGCCGGCUGGGUGGGAAGUACAGUCGCAAGGCCGAAACUUAAAGAAAUUGACGGGGAUUCACCACAAGGCGUGGAGGUUGCGGUUUAAUUAGACCCAACGCUCGACACCUUACCCGGAUAGCCAAUGUUCAUGACCGCCAGACUGAUGAUCUUACGCGACGGCAUUGGCAGCUGGUGCAUGGCCAGGAGCAGCUCGUACCUUGAGGCGUCUGCUCAAGUGCAGGAACGAGCGAGAUUCGCGCUGAUACUUGCUAACUGCUUCAUAGUAAGUGGUGCACAGUAUCGGGAUUGCCGUCGCCGAGACGGCUGAAAGUGUGGGUUAGCCUAGGUCCGUAUGCCGCUGAUAUCCGGGGCUACACGCGACCUACAAUGGAGGCUACAAUGGGAUGCAACCCCGAAAGGGGAAGCCAAUCUCCAAAAGCCUUCUUAGUUGGAACUGAGGGUUGUAACUCACCCUCACGAACUUGGAAUGCCUAGUACGUCCGUGUCAUGAUCGCGGGCGGAAUAUGUCCCUGAAUCUUGUACACACUGCCCGUCGCUCCAUGGGAAUCGCAUCGAUUUGAGGGCCGAUC
This 1371-nucleotide ribosomal RNA is filed under the name metagenome. RNAcentral's name for it is "bacterial SSU rRNA". It matches the Rfam family "Archaeal small subunit ribosomal RNA". The record is from RNAcentral.